UGGCCUCAAAUCAGGCGGGACUACCCGCUGAACUUAA
RNAcentral lists this ribosomal RNA (37 nucleotides) under Polyporus philippinensis. Its description in RNAcentral is "partial 25S ribosomal RNA". The record is from RNAcentral. Lineage: Eukaryota; Fungi; Basidiomycota; Agaricomycetes; Polyporales; Polyporaceae.